This 2773-nucleotide ribosomal RNA is filed under the name Leuconostoc lactis. RNAcentral's name for it is "bacterial LSU rRNA". It matches the Rfam family "Bacterial large subunit ribosomal RNA". Lineage: Bacteria; Bacillati; Bacillota; Bacilli; Lactobacillales; Lactobacillaceae. The record is from RNAcentral.
AUAAGGGCGCGUGGUGGAUGCCUUGGCACUAGGAGCCGAUGAAGGACGUGACUAACUACGAUAAGCUUUGGUGAGCGGUAAGUACGCUAUGACCCAGAGAUUUCCGAAUGGGGAAACCCAACUCGAAGAGAGUUGUCAUUAUCUGAAUACAUAGGAUAAUGACGGAACACGCUGUGAACUGAAACAUCUCAUUAGCAGCAGGAGAAGAAAGAAAAAUCGAUUCCCUAAGUAGCGGCGAGCGAAAAGGGAAGAGCCCAAACCAGAGUGCUUGCACUCUGGGGUUGUAGGACUGAUAUAUAGGAGUUACAAAAGUGUUUUAUAGCAGAACAAGCUGGGAAGCUUGGCUAUAGAGGGUGAUAGCCCCGUACGCGAAAUAAAGCACCCUCCUUUCAGUAUCCUGAGUACGGCCGGACACGUGAAAUCCGGUCGGAAUCUGCGGGGACCAUCCCGUAAGGCUAAAUACUCCCUAGUGACCGAUAGUGAACCAGUACCGUGAGGGAAAGGUGAAAAGCACCCCGGAAGGGGAGUGAAAUAGUUCCUGAAACCACGACGCCUACAAGAAGUCAGAGCCCGUUAAUGGGUGAUGGCGUGCCUUUUGUAGAAUGAACCGGCGAGUUACGGUAUCGUGCAAGGUUAAGGUGGAAAGACCGGAGCCGCAGCGAAAGCGAGUGUGAAUAGCGCGAAUAGUACGAUGCUGUAGACCCGAAACCAGGUGACCUACCCAUGGUCAGGAUGAAGGUGAGGUAAAACUUACUGGAGGUCCGAACCGGUGCAUGUUAAAAAAUGCUCGGAUGAACUGUGGGUAGCGGUGAAAUUCCAAACGAACUUGGAGAUAGCUGGUUCUCUCCGAAAUAGCUUUAGGGCUAGCCUCAUUAUUAGCAUACUGGAGGUAGAGCACUGUUAAGCCUAGGGGCCCACCUCGGGUUACCAAAGUUUGAUAAACUCCGAAUGCCAGAUAUGUAUGAAUGGGAGUCAGACGAUGAGUGAUAAGAUCCACCGUCGAAAGGGGAACAGCCCAGAUCGCCAGUUAAGGUCCCUAAAUAUAUGUUAAGUGGAAAACGAUGUGAUAGUGCAUAGACAACUAGGAUGUUGGCUUAGAAGCAGCCACCAUUUAAAGAGUGCGUAAUAGCUCACUAGUCGAGUGCCAUUGCGCGGAAAAUGUACCGGGGCUAAACAUAUUACCGAAACUGCGGGUGCACGUAAGUGCGCGAUAGGAGAGCGUUGUAAGGGCAAUGAAGGUAGACCGUGAGGACUGCUGGAGCGCUUACAAGUGAGAAUGCCGGUAUGAGUAGCGAAAGACAGGUGAGAAUCCUGUCCACCGAAUGACUAAGGUUUCCUGGGGAAGGCUCGUCCACCCAGGGUUAGUCGGGACCUAAGGCGAGGCUGAGAAGCGUAGUCGAUGGAUAACAGGUUGAGAUUCCUGUACCAGUAGUAAUGCGUUUGACCGAUGGAGGGACGCAGGAGGCUACCAGAUGCGCACUGAUGGAUAUGUGCGUGCAAGCAGUAAGUCUUGUAGAGAGUGAAAUGCUUUCUACUCUAAGGACAAGCUGUGAUGCGGAUCGAAAUAAAGUAGAGAAGUCUGAGACGUCACACUGCCGAGAAAAGCUUCUAGGAAGUAUUACACUGCCCGUACCGCAAACCGACACAGGUAGUCGAGUGGAGAACACUAAGGUGAGCGAGAGAACCCUCGUUAAGGAACUCGGCAAAAUGACCCCGUAACUUCGGGAGAAGGGGUGCUCAUGGCAACAUGAGCCGCAGUGAAUAGGCCCAGGCGACUGUUUAUCAAAAACACAGGUUUCUGCAAAAUCGUAAGAUGAAGUAUAGGGGCUGACGCCUGCCCGGUGCUGGAAGGUUANNUCUGGGCACUGUCUCAACGAGGGACUCGGUGAAAUUUAAAUACCCGUGAAGAUGCGGGUUACCCGCGACAGGACGGAAAGACCCCAUGGAGCUUUACUGUAGCUUGAUAUUGAAUGUUUGUGCUGCUUGUACAGAAUAGGUAGGAGACGAAGAAGUUUGGACGCCAGUCUAGACGGAGUCGAAAUGUGGGAUACUACCCUCGUUGUAUGAACAUUCUAACACUGGUCGCUUAUCGCGAUCGUGGACAGUGUCUGGCGGGCAGUUUGACUGGGGCGGUCGCCUCCUAAAAGGUAACGGAGGCGCCCAAAGGUUUGCUCAGAAUGGUUGGAAAUCAUUCGUAGCGUGUAAAGGCAUAAGCAAGCUUGACUGCGAGAGUUACAACUCGAGCAGGUACGAAAGUAGGACUUAGUGAUCCGGUGGUUCCGCAUGGAAGGGCCAUCGCUCAACGGAUAAAAGCUACCCUGGGGAUAACAGGCUCAUCUCCCCCAAGAGUCCACAUCGACGGGGAGGUUUGGCACCUCGAUGUCGGCUCAUCGCAUCCUGGGGCUGUAGUCGGUCCCAAGGGUUGGGCUGUUCGCCCAUUAAAGCGGUACGCGAGCUGGGUUCAGAACGUCGUGAGACAGUUCGGUCCCUAUCCGUCGCGGGCGCAGGAAAUUUGAGAGGAGUUGCCCUUAGUACGAGAGGACCGGGGUGAACAAACCGCUGGUGUACCAGUUGUUCCGCCAGGAGCAUCGCUGGGUAGCUAUGUUUGGAUGAGAUAAACGCUGAAAGCAUCUAAGUGUGAAACUCGCCUCGAGAUGAGAUUUCCCAUUCUUUAUGAAGUAAGACCCCUUAGAGAUGAUGAGGUAGAUAGGCUAGAAGUGGAAGUACAGUGAUGUAUGUAGCGGACUAGUACUAAUAGGUCGAGGACUUAACC